This is a long non-coding RNA of Sorghum bicolor (sorghum), 1438 nucleotides long. RefSeq lists it as uncharacterized. Lineage: Eukaryota; Viridiplantae; Streptophyta; Magnoliopsida; Poales; Poaceae. The transcript has 4 exons. The record is from RefSeq and is a predicted model, not a curated record.
UCUCAAGUUUCCACAUGUUCAAACUUCGGUUGCCAUGAGAUCUCUACUACUAAAACGUUUACAGUCCAAUCGUCCACAGGGUUACCGCUCCCGCAACCUCACCUGGACACUCCACAUCAUCGAUCCGCGGCAUCCUGACAUCCCCAAUCGGUGCUCGUGCCCGUCCCUCCUUCCCAAUCGGCAGCGGCAGCUCCUUCCCACUCGGCAGUGGCGGUGCCACCUAGCUCUCAAUCGGCAGCGAUAGCCUCGCCCUUAUCCUGACACCAAAGCUGCAGCUCCCGUCCGCCCCGCGCCUCUCCGCCCCACCCUCAUCGACGUCGCUGCCAGGGUCAGGGCGCUGGGCCGCUGUCACCACUCGACGCCGACGCUGCAACACUCCUCCACCAUCGCGGCCAACGCUGACACUAACCCCGACCCCCAGGUGACCAGGGAGUUGGACCGCAACCGUGGCGUCGCUCCUGCUCCUGGUUCACGCCGACCACCACCAGCAGCCGCCCCCACCUUCCUAAAGUCUCUGCGUCUCCCUCGAGGUGCAUGGCUAUCGGAGGUGCGUGGCCGCCCAGCAGCAGAAGACGCUUGAAGCUCCUGCCAAAGGUGUGUGGACACCGACAAGUAGCAGCUCGUGCCGGAGGUGCGUGGUCGCCGACCAGCAGUAGAAGACGCUUGAAGCAGCAGCCACCGCUGAAGUUCCACCGGAGAUAAGAACAGCCGUUCAGAAGCAGAGCAGCAUGUUCUCUUCAAUUAUUUUUCCAGGAUUCUGAAUUUCUGCUAAUUGUGAGUGAGACAGGUUUCCCAAGCUUGUAUCCUUCUUUUAUUUGAUAAAUAAAAAAGAGUUCUCCAAGCUGCAAACAUAUAACAUAUAUCUCUUUCAUAGUUUUGUUCAUGCCGAUUGGGAGCUCGCAUUCUCUGAGUUUCAUUGUCUUAAUGUACAUCUGACAGAAUAAUAAAAUAGGAUGAGUCGAUGGUUGGCAUUGUCAUGGUGAUGCUUGAUGCCGAUCAGUUAGCAUAACCAGCUGCCAAAGCAACUACAAAAAUCAGAUGUAGAAUAAAUUUUGUGCUCAAUAUAAUGAUAUUGCAACUAAAGUUUCAGAUUCCCCAAUUCCUUUGAUGGUUGUGUUGGAUAUCUCUGCUUAUUCUAGUGGUCGAGGCAACUCCUACGAAGUUGGAAGUGCGCUAGGGAAACUCAAGGUGACACUCAAGAUGAACAUGAUAUGAAGCAUCGUUGUCCUGAGAGGCACCAACUUGUGGUCAAGCCGCUUCUCAAGGGAAAGGGGGUGUCAUGUGGGUCUUUGAUGAGUGGGAAAGUGGCCAGGCUUGUUUAGUCCUUGUUUAGUUGGUGAAAAAUUUUAGAUUUAGCUACUGUAGCACUUUCGUUUGUAUUUGACAACUUUAUCCAAUCAUAGACUCUCAAAAGAUUCAUCUCGUAAAUUACAAACAA